This 449-nucleotide ribosomal RNA is filed under the name Vibrio parahaemolyticus. RNAcentral's name for it is "bacterial SSU rRNA". It matches the Rfam family "Bacterial small subunit ribosomal RNA", at positions 582 to 1030 of the family's 1533-position model. Lineage: Bacteria; Pseudomonadati; Pseudomonadota; Gammaproteobacteria; Vibrionales; Vibrionaceae. The record is from RNAcentral.
GUUAAGUCAGAUGUGAAAGCCCGGGGCUCAACCUCGGAAUUGCAUUUGAAACUGGCAGACUAGAGUACUGUAGAGGGGGGUAGAAUUUCAGGUGUAGCGGUGAAAUGCGUAGAGAUCUGAAGGAAUACCGGUGGCGAAGGCGGCCCCCUGGACAGAUACUGACACUCAGAUGCGAAAGCGUGGGGAGCAAACAGGAUUAGAUACCCUGGUAGUCCACGCCGUAAACGAUGUCUACUUGGAGGUUGUGGCCUUGAGCCGUGGCUUUCGGAGCUAACGCGUUAAGUAGACCGCCUGGGGAGUACGGUCGCAAGAUUAAAACUCAAAUGAAUUGACGGGGGCCCGCACAAGCGGUGGAGCAUGUGGUUUAAUUCGAUGCAACGCGAAGAACCUUACCUACUCUUGACAUCCAGAGAACUUUCCAGAGAUGGAUUGGUGCCUUCGGGAACUCU